GAAGUCCGCCAGGCAGCCGCGGCAUCGCAAGAUGGCGAGGAAAGUCCGGGCCCCAUAGAGCAGGAUGCCGGCUAACGGCCGGGCGCCGUGAGGCGACAGACAGUGCAACAGAAAGAUACCGCCGAUGGCUCCGCAAGGAGAUCAGGCAAGGGUGAAAUGGCGGGGUAAGAGCCCACCGCGGACGUGGUGACACGGACGGCACGGCAAACCUCAUCCGGGGCAAGGCCAAAUAGGGGAGCAUUGGCGUGGCUCGCGUCGCUCCCGGGUAGGCUGCUUGAGCCUGUCGGCAACGGCAGGCCUAGAGGAAUGGCUGCCAGGCCGUCGCGUUUCGGCGCGGCGGCCCCACAGAACCCGGCUUAUCGGCGGGCUUCCGAU
This 375-nucleotide RNase P RNA is filed under the name Sulfurisoma sediminicola. Its description in RNAcentral is "Bacterial RNase P class A". It matches the Rfam family "Bacterial RNase P class A". Rfam says of the family: Ribonuclease P (RNase P) is a ubiquitous endoribonuclease, found in archaea, bacteria and eukarya as well as chloroplasts and mitochondria. Its best characterised activity is the generation of mature 5'-ends of tRNAs by cleaving the 5'-leader elements of precursor-tRNAs. The record is from Rfam by way of RNAcentral. Lineage: Bacteria; Pseudomonadati; Pseudomonadota; Betaproteobacteria; Nitrosomonadales; Sterolibacteriaceae.